GAUUUCUGGUUUAAUGCACCUGGCCCGCGGCCACUAGGCUUGUGAGUGCCGGCGCGCGUUUACCAUCCGAGAAAACGUUUCUGCCAUUCACUUGGUUGGGAUCGCGAUCUAGAUCUUUUACUUUGAAAAAAUUAGAGUGUUUAAAGCAAGCUUUUGCUAUGAAUACAUUAGCAUGGAAUAAUAAUCUAGGACUUCGGUUCUAUUGAUUCGGUCAAGACUAACUUAUGCGAAAGCAUUCACCAAGGAUGUCUU
This 252-nucleotide ribosomal RNA is filed under the name uncultured Spongospora. RNAcentral describes it as "partial 18S ribosomal RNA". Lineage: Eukaryota; Endomyxa; Phytomyxea; Plasmodiophorida; Plasmodiophoridae. The record is from RNAcentral.